CAGCCGCCACGGUAAUACGUAGGUGGCGAGCGUUGCCCGGAAUCAUUGGGCGUAAAGGGAGCGCAGGCGGGCAUGUAAGUCUUUCUUAAAAGUGCGGGGCUCAACCCCGUGAUGGGAAAGAAACUACAUGUCUUGAGUACAGGAGAGGAAAGCGGAAUUCCCAGUGUAGCGGUGAAAUGCGUAGAUAUUGGGAGGAACACCAGUGGCGAAGGCGGCUUUCUGGACUGCAACUGACGCUGAGGCUCGAAAGCCAGGGGAGCGAACGGGAUUAGAUACCCGUGUAGUCCCUGUCUCUUAUACC
RNAcentral lists this ribosomal RNA (301 nucleotides) under uncultured bacterium. Its description in RNAcentral is "partial 16S ribosomal RNA". It matches the Rfam family "Bacterial small subunit ribosomal RNA", at positions 509 to 808 of the family's 1533-position model. The record is from RNAcentral.